ACCCACAUAAAUUCUAGUAUCUUCUUUUCUUCUUUUUUUUUUCAAAUAUUUCUAAUUUGAAAAGUAUUUUGGUGAGGAGUGUGAUUUGAGAUAGGGUGUGUUUUGUGAGUUUGUGUGUGGUUUGAGAAGGAAAGUUGUGGGUAUUUAUAGAAAAUAAAGGCUCGCUAAUUCCUCGUAACUGUUUAACUCGUUAAUUCCACGUAACCCUUUUCGUCGUAAAAACGUCGU
Molecule: long non-coding RNA, 228 nt
Filed under: Brassica napus (rape)
Lineage: Eukaryota; Viridiplantae; Streptophyta; Magnoliopsida; Brassicales; Brassicaceae
Description: long non-coding RNA (BNAP_LNC006218)
Source: RNAcentral